AGAGUUUGAUCAUGGCUCAGAAUCAACGCUGGCGGCGCGCCUAACACAUGCAAGUCGCACGAGAAAGCGGGAGCAAUCUCGCAAGUACAGUGGCGUACGGGUGAGUAACACGUGGAUCAUCUACCCUGGAGUGGGGAAUAACGCUGGGAAACCGGCGCUAAUACCGCAUAUUCCCGAGAGGGGAAAGCAGCAAUGCGCUCGAGGAGGAGUCCGCGGCCGAUUAGCUAGUUGGUAGGGUAAAAGCCUACCAAGGCUGUGAUCGGUAGCCGGCCUGAGAGGGCACACGGCCACACUGGCACUGAAACACGGGCCAGACUCCUACGGGAGGCAGCAGUGGGGAAUCUUGCACAAUGGGGGAAACCCUGAUGCAGCGACGCCGCGUGAGCGAUGAAGCCCUUCGGGGUGUAAAGCUCUUUCGGCAGGGAAGAUUAUGACGGUACCUGCAGAAGCAGCUGCGGCUAACUACGUGCCAGCAGCCGCGGUAAUACGUAGGCAGCAAGCGUUGUUCGGAGUUACUGGGCGUAAAGGGUGUGUAGGCGGCCUGUUAAGUUCCGUGUGAAAUCUCCCGGCUCAACCGGGAGGGUGCGCGGAAAACUGGCGGGCUAGAGUGCGGGAUGGGAGAGUAGAAUUCCUGGUGUAGCGGUGAAAUGCGUAGAUAUCAGGAGGAAUACCGGUGGUGUAGACGGCUCUCUGGACCGCAACUGACGCUGAAACACGAAAGCGUGGGUAGCAAACAGGAUUAGAUACCCUAGUAGUCC
Molecule: ribosomal RNA, 758 nt
Filed under: uncultured bacterium
Lineage: Bacteria
Description: bacterial SSU rRNA
Rfam family: Bacterial small subunit ribosomal RNA
Source: RNAcentral